This 83-nucleotide transfer RNA is filed under the name Rhizochromulina marina. Its description in RNAcentral is "tRNA-Leu". It matches the Rfam family "tRNA". From Rfam's summary of the family: Transfer RNA (tRNA) molecules are approximately 80 nucleotides in length. Their secondary structure includes four short double-helical elements and three loops (D, anti-codon, and T loops). Lineage: Eukaryota; Dictyochophyceae; Rhizochromulinales. The record is from RNAcentral.
ACGGACGUGGCGGAAUUGGUAGACGCGCUAGAUUUAGGUUCUAGUAGGAUUUCCUGUGGGGGUUCGAGUCCCUUCGUCCGUAC